UUGCAGUCAGUUAUACUUUACUAUCUACUAUCCAAAACACCAACAAAUCUUUGAUCGAUCACACAGCAGCUCGCUUCACUGUUGAUACAUAUCGUGUGGAUACAGCUCGGCUCGGUUCGACUCGGCUACGAAGUGAAGGCCGUAGUCAAGACAACCUCCUGUCUUGACUCGGUAUGCGAUUUACUUUGUAUCGUUUGAUGAACAUAUUAAGUUUGUAUGUUUUCUGUUUGGUUGCUUGGCCCAUCAUUGAUGAAGCCCAUGACCAGGCCCAACACAUGUGACGAAAUCACAUGUGAUGAAAACCAAAUAGGACGAAAUCCAUAAGUGGUGAAAACACUUAUGGAUGAAAACCAAAUAGGACGAAAUCACCUGAUUUCGUCCAUAUUCUUGAUUUCGUCCAUGUGUUUUCGUGGGUCUUGAUUUCGUGGACCACUUUACUAUAUAAACACAGACAACAGACAUAACAAAAAAGGGACAAGUCUGAAUAGAUUUGAGAGUGAACACUGUAAACACAACACACACUGAGAGUUUAUGAGAGCAUCUUGUAAACAUUGUAUUGUAACCGUUUCAUAGCAUUAAUACAAUGGAGUGUUAAUCGUU
Molecule: long non-coding RNA, 600 nt
Filed under: Helianthus annuus (common sunflower)
Lineage: Eukaryota; Viridiplantae; Streptophyta; Magnoliopsida; Asterales; Asteraceae
Description: hypothetical non coding rna
Source: RNAcentral